Molecule: ribosomal RNA, 440 nt
Filed under: uncultured bacterium
Lineage: Bacteria
Description: partial 16S ribosomal RNA
Rfam family: Bacterial small subunit ribosomal RNA
Source: RNAcentral
CCUACGGGUGGCAGCAGUGGGGAAUAUUGGGCAAUGGGCGAAACCCUUAUCCAGCGACGCCGCGUGAGGGAAGAAGGUUUUCGGAUUGUAAACCUCUGUCAGUGGGGACGAUAAUGACGUUUCCCACGCAGGAAGCCACGGAUGACUACGUCCCAGCAGCCGCGGGAAUACGCCGGUGGCGAGCGUUGGCCGGCAUUACUGGGUGGAACGUGAUCGGAGGUGGGAUGGCAAGUCAAACGUGAAAACUGUGGGCUCAACGCAUUGCCCGCUUUUGAAACUGGUAAUUUUGAGUGAAGUAGAGGAGAGCGGAAUGCCUGGUGUAGCGGUGAAAUGCGGAGAUAUUAGGAGGAACACCAGUGGCGAAGGCGGCUAGCUGGCAUUUUACUGACGCUGAGGAUCGAAAGCGUGGGGAGCAAACAGGAUUAGAUACCCGAGUAGUC